This 497-nucleotide ribosomal RNA is filed under the name uncultured bacterium. Its description in RNAcentral is "partial 16S ribosomal RNA". It matches the Rfam family "Bacterial small subunit ribosomal RNA", at positions 28 to 507 of the family's 1533-position model. The record is from RNAcentral.
GAUGAACGCUGGCGGCGUGCCUAAUACAUGCAAGUCGAGCGAACGGACGAGAAGCUUGCUUUUCUGAUGUUAGCGGCGGACGGGUGAGUAACACGUGGAUAACCUACCUAUAAGACUGGGAUAACUUCGGGAAACCGGAGCUAAUACCGGAUAAUAUUUUGAACCGCAUGGUUCAAAAGUGAAAGACGGUCUUGCUGUCACUUAUAGAUGGAUCCGCGCUGCAUUAGCUAGUUGGUAAGGUAACGGCUUACCAAGGCAACGAUGCAUAGCCGACCUGAGAGGGUGAUCGGCCACACUGGAACUGAGACACGGUCCAGACUCCUACGGGAGGCAGCAGUAGGGAAUCUUCCGCAAUGGGCGAAAGCCUGACGGAGCAACGCCGCGUGAGUGAUGAAGGUCUUCGGAUGGUAAAACUCUGUUAUUAGGGAAGAACAUAUGUGUAAGUAACUGUGCACAUCUUGACGGUACCUAAUCAGAAAGCCACGGCUAACUACGUG